GAUGAAGAACGUAGCGAAAUGCGAUAAGUAAUGUGAAUUGCAGAAUUCAGUGAAUCAUCGAAUCUUUGAACGCACAUUGCGCCCCCUGGCAUUCCGGGGGGCAUGCCUGUCCGAGCGUCAUUGCUGCCCUCAAGCACGGCUUGUGUGUUGGGCCUCCGUCCUCCUCCCGGGGGACGGGCCCGAAAGGCAGCGGCGGCACCGCGUCCGGUCCUCGAGCGUAUGGGGCUUCGUCACCCGCUCUUGUAGGCCCGGCCGGCGCUUGCCGACACAUCAAUCUUUUUUCCAGGUUGACCUCGGAUCAGGUAGGGAUACCCGCUGAACUUAAGCAUAUCAAUAAGCGGAGGA
Molecule: unclassified non-coding RNA, 345 nt
Filed under: soil metagenome
Description: partial contains 5.8S ribosomal RNA, internal transcribed spacer 2, and large subunit ribosomal RNA
Rfam family: 5.8S ribosomal RNA (bases 1-120)
Source: RNAcentral